UCCGGCUUAUCACCGGCAGUUUCCUCAGAGUUCUCAGCUUGACCUGUUAGCAACAGAGGACGAGGGUUGCGCUCGUUGCGGGACUUAACCCAACAUCUCACGACACGAGCUGACGACAGCCAUGCAGCACCUGUGCAUCUCCCACCCGAAGUGAAGAGACCCUUUUCGGGGUCUCAUAGAGAGCAUGUCAAAUCCUGGUAAGGUUCUUCGCGUUGCCUCGAAUUAAACCACAUGUUCCACCGCUUGUGCGGGUCCCCGUCAAUUCCUUUGAGUUUUAAUCUUGCGACCGUACUCCCCAGGCGGGAUGUUUAACGCGUUAGCUACGCCACUGAGGGGUAACCCCCCAACGGCUAACAUCCAUCGUUUACAGCGCGGACUAC
RNAcentral lists this unclassified non-coding RNA (380 nucleotides) under uncultured Rickettsiales bacterium. RNAcentral's name for it is "contains 16S-23S intergenic spacer region". The record is from RNAcentral. Lineage: Bacteria; Pseudomonadati; Pseudomonadota; Alphaproteobacteria; Rickettsiales.